Molecule: ribosomal RNA, 440 nt
Filed under: uncultured bacterium
Lineage: Bacteria
Description: partial 16S ribosomal RNA
Rfam family: Bacterial small subunit ribosomal RNA
Source: RNAcentral
CCUACGGGUGGCAGCAGUAGGGAAUAUUGCUCAAUGGGGGCAACCCUGAUGCAGCAACGCCGCGUGGAGGAUGAAGGUUUUCGGAUUGUAAACUCCUUUUGUUAGAGAAGAUAAUGACGGUAUCUAACGAAUAAGCAACGGCGAACUCCGUGCCAGCAGCCGCGGUAAUACGGCGGGUGCAAGCGUUACUCGGAAUCACUGGUCGUAAAGAGCGCGUAGGUGGGAUAGCAAGUCAGAUGUGAAAUCCUAUGGCUUAACCAUAGAACUUCAUUUGAGACUGUUACUCUGGAGUGUGGGAGAGGGAGGUGGAAUUCUUGGUGUAGGGGUAAAAUGCGUAGAGAUCAAGAGGAAUACUCAUGGCGAAGGCGACCUGCUGGAACAUUACUGACGCUGAUGCACGAAAGCGUGGGGAGCAAACAGGAUUAGAUACCCUGGUAGUC